Molecule: ribosomal RNA, 254 nt
Filed under: uncultured bacterium
Lineage: Bacteria
Also listed under: 1 other name
Description: partial 16S ribosomal RNA
Rfam family: Bacterial small subunit ribosomal RNA
Source: RNAcentral
UACGGAGGAUCCAAGCGUUAUCCGGAAUUACUGGGCGUAAAGAGUUGCGUAGGUGGCAUAGUAAGCAAGCAGUGAAAUUAUACGGCUCAACCGUAUACCCAUUGUUUGAACUGCUAAGCUUGAGCAUGAGAGAGGUAGAUGGAAUUUCUAGUGUAGGAGUGAAAUCCGUAGAUAUUAGAAGGAACACCGAUGGCGUAGGCAGUCUACUGGCUCAUUGCUGACACUAAGGCACGAAAGCGUGGGGAGCGAACGGG